ACGAACGCUGGCGGCGUGCUUAACACAUGCAAGUCGAACGGAAAGGCCCUGCUUUUGUGGGGUGCUCGAGUGGCGAACGGGUGAGUAACACGUGAGUAACCUGCCCUUGACUUUGGGAUAACUUCAGGAAACUGGGGCUAAUACCGGAUAGGAGCUCCUGCUGCAUGGUGGGGGUUGGAAAGUUUCGGCGGUUGGGGAUGGACUCGCGGCUUAUCAGCUUGUUGGUGGGGUAGUGGCUUACCAAGGCUUUGACGGGUAGCCGGCCUGAGAGGGUGACCGGCCACAUUGGGACUGAGAUACGGCCCAGACUCCUACGGGAGGCAGCAGUGGGGAAUAUUGCACAAUGGGCGGAAGCCUGAUGCAGCAACGCCGCGUGCGGGAUGACGGCCUUCGGGUUGUAAACCGCUUUCGCCUGUGAGGAAGCGUGAGUGACGGUAAUGGGUAAAGAAGCACCGGCUAACUACGUG
RNAcentral lists this ribosomal RNA (467 nucleotides) under uncultured bacterium. RNAcentral describes it as "partial 16S ribosomal RNA". It matches the Rfam family "Bacterial small subunit ribosomal RNA", at positions 29 to 507 of the family's 1533-position model. The record is from RNAcentral.